AAGUAAGAUUCCUCUUUUUAGAAAGUAAACAAUGAAUCUGUCACCAAGUUCUAACUGUAAAAUGGGGACAUUUUACCUUUCUUUCUUUGGAUAGGAUCAGUUCUUAAGAGCAGCCCCGGUAACUGGAGGAAUGGGAGCCGUUUUGAUGAGAAAAAUGGGCUGGAGAGAAGGAGAAGGAUUAGGAAAAAACAAAGAAGGCAAUAAGGAACCCAUCCUAGUUGAUUUUAAGACAGACCGAAAAGGUCUUGUUGCAGUAGGAGAAAGAGCACAAAAGAGGUCUGGGAACUUCUCUGCUGCAAUGAAAGAUCUGUCAGGCAAACAUCCUGUGUCUGCUUUGAUGGAGAUCUGUAAUAAAAGAAGGUGGCAACCACCUGAAUUUCUAUUGGUCCAUGAUAGUGGCCCUGAUCAUCGCAAACAUUUUCUCUUUAGGGUAUUGAUAAAUGGAAGCGCUUACCAGCCCAGCUUUGCCAGCCCUAAUAAGAAGCAUGCUAAAGCCACAGCAGCUACUGUGGUUCUUCAAGCAAUGGGCCUUGUACCAAAGGACCUCAUGGCUAAUGCCACUUGCUUCAGGAGUGCCUCACGUAGAUAGAUUGAGGUUUUAUAAUAAUCAUUUCAGAUAAUUUUACUCUGCAUCACAAUGUAUUUCCUCUUUAAUGUUGUAAAUAUUUGGCAAUUUAAGACAUUGUGUAAAAAGCAAUCUGUAAAAACAUCUCCAGGCUUUGAUUUUUGUACCAUGGAAAUUGUAUUUAACCAUACAGGGUUUUGGUAUGUUUAUAUUGUUUACCUUAGUGAUGUAUUUGUUUAAGUGGCUAACAUCCAAACGACUGUUUGAAGGCAUCAGAGUAAUCUUCAGUGUGGAAUGUUAAAUAACGCUUUUAUACUGUAUUUUGUACUAUGAUGUAACUCCCCUUCCUUAUGGCUAGGCUACUGUAACACUUGCCUGUAAUCAGUGAAGGGCUGUGCACCUUGUACUAUUUCACAAUGGGUUCUGCUGGAC
Molecule: small RNA, 997 nt
Filed under: Pan troglodytes (chimpanzee)
Lineage: Eukaryota; Metazoa; Chordata; Mammalia; Primates; Hominidae
Description: retained intron
Source: RNAcentral